RNAcentral lists this ribosomal RNA (251 nucleotides) under uncultured bacterium. RNAcentral describes it as "partial 16S ribosomal RNA". It matches the Rfam family "Bacterial small subunit ribosomal RNA", at positions 524 to 776 of the family's 1533-position model. The record is from RNAcentral.
UACGAAGGGGGCUAGCGUUGUUCGGAAUUACUGGGCGUAAAGCGCACGUAGGCGGAUAUUUAAGUCAGGGGUGAAAUCCCAGAGCUCAACUCUGGAACUGCCUUUGAUACUGGGUAUCUUGAGUAUGGAAGAGGUAAGUGGAAUUGCGAGUGUAGAGGUGAAAUUCGUAGAUAUUCGCAAGAACACCAGUGGCGAAGGCGGCUCACUGGCCCGGUACUGACGCUGAGGUGCGAAAGCGUGGGAGCAACAGG